This is a non-coding RNA of Pelobates cultripes (western spadefoot toad), 502 nucleotides long. Lineage: Eukaryota; Metazoa; Chordata; Amphibia; Anura; Pelobatidae. The record is from the annotation of a GenBank genome assembly.
GGGACAAGUAAACAGUUCAUAGGCUCCUCCUGUGCCUGGGAGAGAAUUGAGUAAGAACAACUCUUUAAAUUAUCUCUCAGGUACAGAAAAUAUCCAAUAUUUAUAAACAGCAUAAAACACAUUUUAAUAUUUCAGAACCCCACGAAAGUUACUUCACCAAAUAGCUGGGAUCUGAGCGCCCACUUUACCAAAAUAUCACUCAUAUUUGUUCGGUGGUUUAGGAAUGCCAUUCGAGUGAAGUUUUGAGGUGAAGCCCCCAAAGCAGUUCCAGAGAAAUUCGACCGGUCUUCUUUCGGGAGUUCUUGCACGAAUGCUGAUGAAGGCUCUCCCUGGCUGCAAGCAUACAAAUGUUCCCUCUGUUCGGUAGUUUAGGUCUCCCGAAUGCCGUUCUCCUACUGGUUCGGGAAGUUGAAUGGGCAGCGGUAUCAGUUUACCGGCUGUUCGCGGAGUAGACUAGCCGAAAUUAGUUCCAGGUCGUCAACGACCAUGUACCGCUGCCCAU